GGGAAAGUGUUCCCAGAGCUUGCCUUGGUAAUCACUUCUAGUACUUAGCAACUUUCCCUGGCAGAGAGUUCCUCUUCAUAGGAUCAAAAUCCACAAGUUAAGUUCGGGUAUUUCUCCAUGGCAGUGAGGACACACAACACAGCCUUGAGCGGUCCUUGAUUUCCUCGCCGAUGAAGUGCCUGCUUGCACCCUGGUAUCAUGGUAUUCUAUCUGGGCUACUCUCUAAUGUGCCCAUCCUAGGGCCAUGAAUAGAAGAGCUCUUCAAAGAGCACCUGCACAACUAUACCGGCAGUGGACAAAAGAGGCACAUGUUCCCCUUGGUGAUCUCAGAAGGCACCUGCAGCAAAUUCAACUGAACUCAAGCCCAUCUAUUUCUAUUAUCCUGAAGGCCUUGGUGUCCAUGGGACAAGCUGUACUUCCAUCAUCUUCAGACCUGGAAUUCGCUCUGCCCAAAAAUAUUUAUUUUGUUAAAGCAAACUGGAGGAUUCACAAGUUCGCGCAGACAGGAGGUGUCUGUUUUUGCCAAGAAUGCUCCUUUCAUUUUAAGGACAUUGUUUCAGGCACCAGAAAUAUAAAUGACGGAGAAGCUGAGUGCCGGUCUGCAUGGUUCCAUUGGGUCUAGGCUGUCGCUGGACACUAAGCAAGGAACAAGAAGCUGAGAAAUUUAGUAACCCUUCCCAGUCAAAAGGUGGCUGCAAAGAAGAGUUCAGCUCAAGAAGACUGGAAGUUUAGAACUGUCCUGCUUAUUCUGUUUGACGGCUGUGUGAUUUUGGCAUGAAAAAGUUAGGAUUCAAGCCGCAAUUCAAUGGUCAAAAAAAUAAAGACGGAAAAUCAAACA
This 838-nucleotide long non-coding RNA is filed under the name Felis catus (domestic cat). Its description in RNAcentral is "lncRNA (ENSFCAG00000044021.2)". The record is from RNAcentral. Lineage: Eukaryota; Metazoa; Chordata; Mammalia; Carnivora; Felidae.